ACCCUACGGGGGGCAGCAGUGGGGAAUAUUGCACAAUGGGGGAAACCCUGAUGCAGCGACGCCGCGUGAGUGAAGAAGUAAUUCGUUACGUAAAGCUCUAUCAGCAGGGAAGAAAUACUGACCUUACGGUCAGCAGACGGUACCUGACUAAGAAGCCCCGGCUAACUACGUGCCAGCAGCCGCGGUAAUACGUAGGGGGCAAGCGUUAUCCGGAUUUACUGGGUGUAAAGGGAGCGUAGGUGGCAUGGUAAGCCAGAAGUGAAAACCCGGGGCUCAACCCCGCGGAUUGCUUUUGGAACUAUCAG
Molecule: ribosomal RNA, 305 nt
Filed under: uncultured bacterium
Lineage: Bacteria
Description: bacterial SSU rRNA
Rfam family: Bacterial small subunit ribosomal RNA
Source: RNAcentral